This 268-nucleotide small RNA is filed under the name Pongo abelii (Sumatran orangutan). RNAcentral's name for it is "processed transcript". Lineage: Eukaryota; Metazoa; Chordata; Mammalia; Primates; Hominidae. The record is from RNAcentral.
GAAAUGAGCCGAGAGGCAUCCCUGAAACCACUCUGCUGGGAGCUGCUCUGCUGAGAGCCCGGGUACGCUACUUCCUGAAGAAUAAGGUCAGCCCUGAUUUGUGCAAUGAGGACGGACUCACAGCCCUACACCAGUGCUGCAUCGACAACUUUGAGGAAAUUGUGAAGCUGCUCCUCUCCCAUGGUGCCAACGUGAAUGCCAAGGACAACGAGCUGUGGACGCCUCUCCAUGCUGCAGCCACCUGCGGCCACAUCAACCUGGUGAAGAU